Clupea harengus (Atlantic herring) is the source of this 667-nucleotide long non-coding RNA. NCBI's taxonomy places the organism in Eukaryota, Metazoa, Chordata, Actinopteri, Clupeiformes, Clupeidae. The record is from Ensembl.
GUGUGUGUGCGUGUGUGUGUGUGUCUCCUACCCAGUGCCCAAGGCUCAGUGUAAAGAGGAGGAGUUUGGUCAGUUUCCCUACCGGCUGCUGGACUGGUUCUUGCUCUUGAGCCGUAUGGGGGAGAGUUAUGAUCCCAAUGCCCCCUCUCAGAGCUGCCUGAGCCGAACAGCACGCAUCCAGCUCGCCCAGCGGAGGUUUGUCCUCCUGGACCGGAACCAGGAUGGGAAAUUGAGCCGGCGGGAUCUGAAGAAGCUGCAUUAUAAAAGGAUGCCUCUGGAGCAUUGUGCCAAGAGAUUCUUCCAAUCGUGUGACAAGAACAGGAACAAGAAGGUGACCCUGAAGGAGUGGACCUCGUGCCUGGUGAAGGGGUCUGAGCGCUGGUUCCAGCAUUACAUGUCUAUGAAGAUGGGUUCUCGCAAGUUAUGUCCUACAACUGAAAGCAAUCUUUAGUUCAGCUGCAGACAAAAUAAAAACACUCUUAUGGAGGGUUAAAUCAACUCAACUAAGUCAGAACAGGAGAGGAGUGGAGCGGACAGAAGAGGAAAGAAGAGAAGACGAGAGGAGGACUACAGGACAGGACAGGACAGGGCAAAGAAAAAAAAGAGUAAGGAGAAUAACGCCAGAGAGGAGCACAGAAGAGGAGAGGGCACCAGCCUGGUACUUCUC